AGGUGUUCAGAGAAAGUGUGGGAAAACCCAUAUUUCUGCAUUGUCAUUCGAACACAGAAAACACAGGAGGAAAAUGAGCUGUCACUCCAAUUCCCAUGAUGCCUUGCUGCUUAGCAUAACUCUACAGUGCGGCCCUGGGUCCACUGGUCCAUACUCUGACAGAUAAUUAAGAAAGCAGCAGCUUUUUCUAGACGGCUCUUCCUCAUGAUUUGCAUUUUAGCCAGAGGCGACCAGUUAUAAAAAAAACAUGAUGGAAAGAUGGUAAGAAGCCAAUUAGAUGGAUGGAUGGCUGACUGACAGCUCUCUGGUAUCACGACUCCAGAUUUCAGACUACAUAGCCUGGCAGUUUUCUACAAGAACCAACUUUUUUGCAGAAUGAACAGAUGUCUUUCAACAAGGAAUAUUAAGAAAAUCAUAUUUGAUGUUGGAAAUAAUAUCUCUUCAUGGAGCAUCAGAAAAGGAUAGGUAAAUCCUCACAAUUUAUUUGUUAUUUAGAUGUUAUUUUUGUUUAAAUAAAUAACCAAGCAUCAAAAUUAAUCUUGAUUAUAUAAAUUCAUACCAUCUCCAUCAUCCAACUUUUCAUUUUCCUGAGAUUUAUUUUAGCUGUAAAACAUUAUCAAA
This 621-nucleotide long non-coding RNA is filed under the name Callithrix jacchus (white-tufted-ear marmoset). RNAcentral's name for it is "lncRNA (ENSCJAG00000085105.1)". The record is from RNAcentral. Lineage: Eukaryota; Metazoa; Chordata; Mammalia; Primates; Cebidae.